UUUAGAGAGGAAGUCACAAGGAAUGAC
Molecule: small RNA, 27 nt
Filed under: Bombyx mori (domestic silkworm)
Lineage: Eukaryota; Metazoa; Arthropoda; Insecta; Lepidoptera; Bombycidae
Description: ovarian small RNA-950
Source: RNAcentral